Molecule: ribosomal RNA, 254 nt
Filed under: uncultured bacterium
Lineage: Bacteria
Description: partial 16S ribosomal RNA
Rfam family: Bacterial small subunit ribosomal RNA
Source: RNAcentral
CACGUAGGCACCAAGCGUUGUCCGGAUUUAUUGGGCGUAAAGAGCUCGUAGGCGGUUCAGUAAGUCGGGUGUGAAAACUUUGGGCUUAACCCAAAGCGUGCAUCCGAUACUGCUGUGACUUGAGUUCGGUAGGGGAGUGGGGAAUUCCUAGUGUAGCGGUGAAAUGCGCAGAUAUUAGGAGGAACACCGGUGGCGAAGGCGCCACUCUGGGCCGAAACUGACGCUGAGGAGCGAGAGCAUGGGUAGCAAACAGG